This 555-nucleotide ribosomal RNA is filed under the name uncultured bacterium. Its description in RNAcentral is "partial 16S ribosomal RNA". It matches the Rfam family "Bacterial small subunit ribosomal RNA", at positions 355 to 900 of the family's 1533-position model. The record is from RNAcentral.
UAGGGAAUCUUCCACAAUGGACGCAAGUCUGAUGGAGCAACGCCGCGUGAGUGAAGAAGGUUUUCGGACCGUAAAGCUCUGUUGUUGGUGAAGAAGGAUAGAGGUAGUAACUGGCCUUUAUUUGACGGUAAUCAACCAGAAAGUCACGGCUAACUACGUGCCAGCAGCCGCGGUAAUACGUAGGUGGCAAGCGUUGUCCGGAUUUAUUGGGCGUAAAGCGAGCGCAGGCGGAAGAAUAAGUCUGAUGUGAAAGCCCUCGGCUUAACCGAGGAAUUGCAUCGGAAACUGUUUUCUUGAGUGCAGAAGAGGAGAGUAGAACUCCAUGUGUAGCGGUGGAAUGCGUAGAUAUAUGGAAGAAUACCAGUGGCGAAGGCGGCUCUCUGGUCUGCAACUGACGCUGAGGCUCGAAAGCAUGGGUAGCGAACAGGAUUAGAUACCCUGGUAGUCCAUGGCCGUAAACGAUGAGUACUAAGUGUUGGGAGGCUUCCGCCUCUCAGUGCUGCAGCUAACGCAUUAAGCACUCCGCCUGGGGGAGUACGACCGCAAGGUUGAAAC